Molecule: ribosomal RNA, 620 nt
Filed under: Micromonospora sp. I12A-02085
Lineage: Bacteria; Bacillati; Actinomycetota; Actinomycetes; Micromonosporales; Micromonosporaceae
Description: bacterial SSU rRNA
Rfam family: Bacterial small subunit ribosomal RNA
Source: RNAcentral
GGCGAACGGGUGAGUAACACGUGAGCAACCUGCCCCAAGCUUUGGGAUAACCCUCGGAAACGGGGGCUAAUACCGAAUAGGACUUCUGGCCGCAUGGCUGGUGGUGGAAAGUUUUUCGGCUUGGGAUGGGCUCGCGGCCUAUCAGCUUGUUGGUGGGGUGAUGGCCUACCAAGGCGACGACGGGUAGCCGGCCUGAGAGGGCGACCGGCCACACUGGGACUGAGACACGGCCCAGACUCCUACGGGAGGCAGCAGUGGGGAAUAUUGCACAAUGGGCGGAAGCCUGAUGCAGCGACGCCGCGUGAGGGAUGACGGCCUUCGGGUUGUAAACCUCUUUCAGCAGGGACGAAGCGAGAGUGACGGUACCUGCAGAAGAAGCACCGGCCAACUACGUGCCAGCAGCCGCGGUAAGACGUAGGGUGCGAGCGUUGUCCGGAUUUAUUGGGCGUAAAGAGCUCGUAGGCGGCUUGUCGCGUCGACCGUGAAAACUUGGGGCUCAACCCCAAGCCUGCGGUCGAUACGGGCAGGCUAGAGUUCGGUAGGGGAGACUGGAAUUCCUGGUGUAGCGGUGAAAUGCGCAGAUAUCAGGAGGAACACCGGUGGCGAAGGCGGGGUCUCUG